Polyodon spathula (Mississippi paddlefish) is the source of this 958-nucleotide long non-coding RNA. RefSeq lists it as uncharacterized. The transcript has 3 exons. Lineage: Eukaryota; Metazoa; Chordata; Actinopteri; Acipenseriformes; Polyodontidae. The record is from RefSeq and is a predicted model, not a curated record.
GAUUAAUUUAUUUAAAAUUAUAAAGUUUUAAAAAAAGUUCGGUUUUUAAACUUAAUCCAAAGCUGGGCUAGCUGGGCUAGCUGUCAUCGAGAUAUUGAAGCUAAGUGGCUAGGCUCUGUCCAUGACUGAAGAAUAUUCAGAGUCUACAUUGUGCCAGAGAUUCGAGGAAGGUCAUUAUGACGGGGUCCUAAUUGGAGACAGAGGCUGCGCAGGUAGACCCUUCUUCAUGACCCCAUACCCAGAACCAGCACCAGGGCCCGUAGCACGAUUCAAUGUGGCUCUUGCAAGGACAAGAGCUCGAAUUGAAAUGACCUUUGGACAACUAAAGGCCUGAUUCAACCGUCUUCGUAGUCUGAGGGUUGCACCAGACAGAGCCUGCGACAAGAAAGGAGAGGGUCCCAGUCUUACAAGCCCAGCCCGAAGAAGACGUGGAUCCGGUGCACCUGGAUCAGCAGAACGGCCGAGAUGCAAGGGAUCGCAUUGCAUACCACUACUUUGGUUAAAGCAUGUAAGAUUUAUUUCCUUUUGUUUUUUGUUAAUCUUUGCCUUGUUAAGAUAACCACAGUUUUCAUAAACAUAGCCAACAGUGAGUAAUAGCCUGUCAAAACAAGAACAAAAUGUUAAAAAAUAAAUCGUUUAUUUGGAAUUUCAUGGAUGGUCCUGUUAAUGGAAAAGCAGACGAUUUAUUUUUAGUACAUUUUUAGUGUUUGUAAAAAGAAAUUAUAAUAAUUAACAGCAGUUCAAAUGAUUCAGCUGACUUCAAUAGAAUUGGUGUAUCAAGACACAUGCAGUGGCAUAUGGUCCUUUGUCUCUAGAGUCACAGGUCGUUCUCUUGUUUCUUGUGAAAAGGGGGGCAGGGGUGAAGAAAUCUCCAGAUGGCAGUGGUGGGAUUCAAACCCAUGCCUCCAGAGAGACUAGAGCCUAAAUUCAGCGCCUUAGACCGCUCGGCCACACUACC